GGCUGGUACCAUGAGGUGACUUCUGCCCAGUGCUCUGAUUGUCAUGGCAAAGAGAUUUAGCCAAGCGCGGGUAAACGGCGGGAGUAACUAUGACUCUCUUAAGGUAGCCAAAUGCCUCGUCAACCAAUUAUUGACGCGCAUGAAUGGAUCAACGAGAUUCCUGCUGUCCCUAGGUGCUGUCCGGUGAACCAACAGCCAAGGGAACGGGCUUGGGCGUGUCAGCGGGGAAAGAAGACCCUGUUGAGUUUGACUCUAGUUUGAUGCUGUGCAACGACAUGUGGGGUGUAGCAUAGGUGGGAGGCCCGUGCCAUUGGCCAUCCACCACGCAGCAGUGUCCACUGGGGAUGCAUCUCCCUACCCAGUGACACUCCAUCGGCUCUUCCUGGAUGAUGUGGUACCAACCAGCAGUGGAAUCAGCACUGGGCAUGGGCCAAAUGCUCAUCUCCCUGCCCAGUUUCUCAGGGAUAACUGUGCAAUGGGCAAGUCCCAUCAUCCAUCUCGGCUCUUCUUGGACAAUAUGGUGCAAACCAGCAGUGAAAUACCACUACCUUCACCGUCGUUUUACUCAUCGAGUGGCUUGGGAACAGUGGCCAUUGGACAUCGUCUCCUGCACUUGCUGUGGGAGACGCGGCCUCAUCCUGCUUCGUGUGUCAAGUGCUGCUAUAUCUGUCCUUCAGGGCAGUAGUGGCUGCAUGACCCUGGGGUCCUUAUGGACACCCUUCCGUUGAUUCGGUGCCUCGGGACAAUGAUCAGUUGGGGAGUUUGGCUGGGGCGGCACGCCUGUUACAGGACAACGCAGGCGUCCUGAAGCAUUGCUCAGAUGGAACAGAAAUCUUGCGUGGAGGAGCAGGCCAAAGGUGCUGCUGAUGCUGCAACUUUCAGUACAAGUUCAAAACGUGCAAACGUGGCCUUGCGAUCCUUUGGUCAAGCGGCGAGUUCUGGAUAUUGAAGCCAGAGGUGUCAGAAAAAUUACCACAGGGAUAACUGGCUUGUGGCUGCCAAGCGUUCAAAGCGACGUCGCUUUUUGAUCCUUCGAUGUCGGCUCUUCCUAGCUUCCCACCCGCAGCCGAGUGGAAGAGUUGGAUUGUUC
Molecule: ribosomal RNA, 1090 nt
Filed under: Lepocinclis fusca
Lineage: Eukaryota; Euglenozoa; Euglenophyceae; Euglenales; Phacaceae
Description: partial large subunit ribosomal RNA
Rfam family: Eukaryotic large subunit ribosomal RNA
Source: RNAcentral